Molecule: long non-coding RNA, 1597 nt
Organism: Helianthus annuus (common sunflower)
Lineage: Eukaryota; Viridiplantae; Streptophyta; Magnoliopsida; Asterales; Asteraceae
Exons: 13
Source: RefSeq, a predicted model, not a curated record
CUCUUUCUUCUUUGUGAGACCAACAACAAGAAAUUCAAGCUUUCGGGAAUCAAUCCCAAGCCUUUAGUCUUUUCUUAUCGAGCUAAGACAACACAACAAACAAACACACAUGAGAAUGAACUUGAAGAGGAUGAGCGACAAGAGCCUAAUGGUGAAGAUGUUGAUCCUGGAGAUCGAGAUGAUGAUGAAGAUGAAGAGGAUGGGUUUCUUUUUUGUUCCUAUGUUUUCCCCAAAUUUCAGAUGUUAUGUUUGAGGUUCCUGCUUAUCUAGGGUUUCUAAAUUUUCAACAUCUGAUUACCGGCGUUUGAGCUCCACUUUAAUUUGAGGGAAGGAUCAUGAGACCGAAGAGAUGCAAGUUGUUGCUGAUGAUUACAUAACAACCAAGGGCUAUUUACGGGAUUUUUCACCAUUGCUCUUUGCUGGGAGAUCCAACAGAUCACACGGGUAGCUUAUUUCGAUGGUAUGCCACAUGUCAAUGAUGAUGUCAUAAUUCCGGUUUAUAAUCCAUCCAGCUGAGCUGUCGAGUUCUUGAACAACUCUUAUGCAGCAAAUAUGGAUGGACAUAUGUGAACAUGAAGCAGAGAAAGACAAUAUGUUAAUGGAAUUAGAAAGAGAGUGAGUUGAAGUGUAUAGAAGAAAGCUUCAUGAGGCUUCAACUCUUGUGUUUGCAAAGCAUAGAAGCCCAAGAGCGUGAAAAAUGGUUGCGGUAAAGAAAGGCCAAACCGAGCGAGAACUUGGUAACACCAUCAUGCUUCUAGAGGAGACUAUUCACAACUUUGUGGAUCAUCAAAAACCACAAGCCGAGCUUGACGGUAAGGCAUGUGCGGCUGUUCGACAAAACGGUCUUAUGGCACUUUAUGAUACACUGUUUAGCCAGGUUGAUCAGUGGUUUAUAAUCGGACCGUCCAGUUCCUUCAUCAGGACCAUCAUAACUUGAAUACAUAUAAUCUCCGAUGAAAACAACCGUUUUUCCGGCGUGGAGGCGGUGGAGGAACCGGCUGCCGCGACAUUAUUUUCUGGAAACAUGUUUACUUUUUCGUCGUCGUUCAACUUCACAGAUGGAUUGUAUUGAUGUUAUGAGAAGGGCAUUGUUUCCGAGUGAAAGAAGGUGACCAUGUCAUUGUUGGAUUUGUGCAGGCCUCCACUAAUUGUUUCUCGAUCCGAUUAUCGGCAAUCCAAAGAGGGACAAGAUGUUUAUCUUGAUCAGGUUAAAGCAGUGUUGCUGGAGUGUGCCGGGCACUUUGGCUUGUGUGCAAGUGUGGAAGCGAAGGGUAAUAAAGUGGUUUAGUGAUUUGGUGGUUUCAUAUCAAUGUAGUUCUUUCCAUUUACGUUUUUUUCUAUUCGUAUGUAGUGAAAUUGGCUGAAUUUAUGAAAUGUUUUUAGAGCUUUAUUGGAAGAACCGAGACGAGAGGGUUUUUGAACUAAAGUAUACGGAUACAACCAUGCUCCUGGAAAGUAUUAAGGCAGAAUGAAAUCAUACUGGUGGAUGGUUAAAAGGAGAAAAAUUGCAGAUCUCACCUUAGAUAGCUGGAACAAUUUUGUAAAACUUGGAUUUUUGUAUAGGCUUCUGUGUAGUUUGUUUGUUGUUUUUAUUCUA